This 494-nucleotide ribosomal RNA is filed under the name uncultured bacterium. RNAcentral's name for it is "partial 16S ribosomal RNA". It matches the Rfam family "Bacterial small subunit ribosomal RNA", at positions 28 to 507 of the family's 1533-position model. The record is from RNAcentral.
GACGAACGCUGGCGGCGUGCUUAACACAUGCAAGUCGAACGGUGAAGCGCCUUCCUUUUUGGUGGGUGUGGAUGAGUGGCGAACGGGUGAGUAACACGUGAGUAACCUGCCCCCUUCUUCUGGAUAACCGCAUGAAAGUGUGGCUAAUACGGGAUAUUCUGGGUCUGUCGCAUGAUGGGUCUGGGAAAGAUAUUGUUUCGGUGGGGGAUGGGCUCGCGGCCUAUCAGCUUGUUGGUGGGGUGAUGGCCUACCAAGGCGGUGACGGGUAGCCGGCCUGAGAGGGUGGACGGUCACACUGGGACUGAGACACGGCCCAGACUCCUACGGGAGGCAGCAGGGAGGAAUAUUGCACAAUGGGCGCAAGCCUGAUGCAGCGACGCCGCGUGAGGGAUGGAGGCCUUCGGGUUGUGAACCUCUUUCGCCAGUGAAGCAGGCCUGCCUCGUUUGUGGGUGGGUUGACGGUAGCUGGAUAAGAAGCGCCGGCUAACUACGUG